GCCCUUUCCGUAGGUGAACCUGCGGAGGGAUCAUUACACAAAUAUGAAGGCGGGCUGGAACCUCUCGGGGUUACAGCCUUGCUGAAUUAUUCACCCUUGUCUUUUGCGUACUUCUUGUUUCCUUGGUGGGUUCGCCCACCACUAGGACAAACAUAAACCUUUUGUAAUUGCAAUCAGCGUCAGUAACAAAUUAAUAAUUACAACUUUCAACAACGGAUCUCUUGGUUCUGGCAUCGAUGAAGAACGCAGCGAAAUGCGAUAAGUAGUGUGAAUUGCAGAAUUCAGUGAAUCAUCGAAUCUUUGAACGCACAUUGCGCCCUUUGGUAUUCCAAAGGGCAUGCCUGUUCGAGCGUCAUUUGUACCCUCAAGCUUUGCUUGGUGUUGGGCGUCUUGUCUCUAGCUUUGCUGGAGACUCGCCUUAAAGUAAUUGGCAGCCGGCCUACUGGUUUCGGAGCGCAGCACAAGUCGCACUCUCUAUCAGCAAAGGUCUAGCAUCCAUUAAGCCUUUUUUUCAACUUUUGACCUCGGAUCAGGUAGGGAUACCCGCUGAACUUAAGCAUAUCAAUAAGCGGAGG
RNAcentral lists this ribosomal RNA (575 nucleotides) under Alternaria alternata. RNAcentral describes it as "eukaryotic LSU rRNA". The stretch from base 202 to 355 matches the Rfam family "5.8S ribosomal RNA". The record is from RNAcentral. Lineage: Eukaryota; Fungi; Ascomycota; Dothideomycetes; Pleosporales; Pleosporaceae.